GGAGGAGUAGCGAAGUGGUCAAACGCGGUUGACUGUAAAUCAAUUCCCAACGGGUUCGGCAGUUCAAAUCUGUCCUCCUCCACCA
Molecule: transfer RNA, 85 nt
Filed under: Erysipelotrichaceae bacterium
Lineage: Bacteria; Bacillati; Bacillota; Erysipelotrichia; Erysipelotrichales; Erysipelotrichaceae
Description: tRNA-Tyr
Rfam family: tRNA
About the family: Transfer RNA (tRNA) molecules are approximately 80 nucleotides in length. Their secondary structure includes four short double-helical elements and three loops (D, anti-codon, and T loops).
Source: RNAcentral